Molecule: ribosomal RNA, 301 nt
Filed under: uncultured bacterium
Lineage: Bacteria
Description: partial 16S ribosomal RNA
Rfam family: Bacterial small subunit ribosomal RNA
Source: RNAcentral
CAGUAGCCACGGUAAGACAGAGGAUGCAAGCAUUAUCCGGAAUGAUUGGGCGUAAAGGGUGCGUAGGCGGUUUGGCAAGUCUUAUGUGAAAUCUUCGGGCUCAACCCGAAGUCUGCAUGAGAAACUGCCGGGCUUGAGUAUGGGAGAGGUGAGUGGAAUUUCCGGUGUAGCGGUGAAAUGCGUAGAUAUCGGAAGGAACACCUGUGGCGAAAGCGGCUCACUGGACCAUAACUGACGCUGAGGCACGAAAGCUAAGGUAGCGAACAGGAUUAGAUACCCCCGUAGUCCCUGUCUCUUAUAC